Long non-coding RNA from Carassius gibelio (silver crucian carp), 1526 nucleotides. RefSeq lists it as uncharacterized. Lineage: Eukaryota; Metazoa; Chordata; Actinopteri; Cypriniformes; Cyprinidae. The record is from RefSeq and is a predicted model, not a curated record. The transcript has 6 exons.
UUCCCUGCAGGUUAUUUUUGGUUAACUGAGUUGCUGCAGAAAUUCAUAAGACAUACAAUGUAAGCGAUUUGAAAUUACAAUAAACUGAUAAAACACGCUAAAAAUGUAACCUUUCAUAGCAGCUGAAAACAAACCAAAUUUGAAAGUGAAGUGACAUUCAGCCAAGUGUGACCCAUACUCAGAAUUUGUGCUCUGCAUUUAACCCAUCCGAAAUGCACACACGCAGUGAACACACACACACACACUGUGAGCACACAGCCGAUUUUGUAAUGAGGGGAUUGAGUGUUACUGUAAAUUCUGCGUGUUUUAAUGAGCGCGCGCUGAACAUUGGAGCGCGUUCAUUCAGAUUCAAACACUGGAGCGGAGGGAGUUGGCAUGGAAACGGGCGGUCGACAACACUGGCAAGCUGCACGCUCCGUCUCUCGCUGCUGUUUUCACUGAUUUCGAAAUGUUUAAGUGUUUUCGAACAAGUCCGUGAGCAUCUGAACCUUUAUCAGAGGAGAUUCUUCUAGUGCUUGAUGAUCUUCUGCAUCCCAUGAUGAGCAAACCUCCUGUCCAACAACAUCUCCAAGGCACACUGAUCCAUAUGACUAGCAGCGAAAUAUACAUUGUGGACCAAAGAGGAAACUGACAACACACAGACAGAAGAAGAUAGAGAAGGUCACUUCUGAUCCAUCAAAGUCCUCAUCUUCUGUGUCUGAGUUGAACAGCUGGGCAACAGCUUUUGAACAGCUUUCUUCAUCAAACAUGCCGGGUUCCCUCUCAUCAUGGUUGAUCGCUGCCAGCGUACGUAGUGUACGUAUUAUGUCCCUGUGUCAGCGGGAAAUGGUCCGACAGUCAGAUGACUGUUGUGAAGAUGGAAGAGUGCAGGAUCUACAAUUACACUAAUAAUAACAUUUUUGAAGUAGUUUGAUUUUGUUUCGCUUUCUGCCAUGUUUUGAAUGUGAUGCUCAGCCUACAACCCAAUGAUUGUGUUUGUAUUAUUAUUUUUUUAAUCAACAAUUAAAAAAUGACAAAACAAUGGACUGUAAGCUGAUUAUUUCUAUACAGUCGUAUGUUAUUAAAGUAAAUUAAAUUGUUAGUUGAAUGCUAGAAAUAACGUUCUGGGAUUAAUAAAACUCCUGGCAAACCAAAAACAAACCAUAAAAAAUAACGUUCUGGGAACCAAAAACUAACGUUCUGAGAACGUUAAGAAAACUUUCCUGGCAAACUAAAAACAAACCAUAAAAACUAGCGUUCUGGGAACCAAACACUAACAUUCAGAAAACUUUCUGGGAACCAAAAACUAACGUUCUGAGAACGUUCUGGGAACCAAAAACUAACGUUCUGAGAACAUUCUGGGAACCAAAAACUAACGUUCUGAGAACGUUAAGAAAACUUUCCUGGCAAACUAAAAACAAACCAUAAAAACUAACGUUCUGGGAACCAAACACUAACAUUCGGAAAACUUUCUGGGAACCAAAAACUAACGUUCUGAGAACGUUCUGGGAACCAAAAACUAACGUUCUGAGAACGUUCUGGGAACC